GUACUGUUGAAGAGUCCCAUACUAGGAUGAAACGAUCGUUCAGUAC
Molecule: non-coding RNA, 46 nt
Filed under: Schistosoma mattheei
Lineage: Eukaryota; Metazoa; Platyhelminthes; Trematoda; Strigeidida; Schistosomatidae
Source: RNAcentral